RNAcentral lists this ribosomal RNA (160 nucleotides) under uncultured bacterium. RNAcentral describes it as "partial 16S ribosomal RNA". It matches the Rfam family "Bacterial small subunit ribosomal RNA", at positions 368 to 520 of the family's 1533-position model. The record is from RNAcentral.
ACAAUGGACGCAAGUCUGAUGGAGCAACGCCGCGUGAGUGAAGAAGGGUUUCGGCUCGUAAAGCUCUGUUGUUAAAGAAGAACGUGGGUGAGAGUAACUGUUCACCCAGUGACGGUAUUUAACCAGAAAGCCACGGCUAACUACGUGCCAGCAGCCGCGG